GAAUUCACUAGUGAUUCAGGCCUAACACAUGCAAGUCGAACGAGAUUUUAUUAAUUGAUUACUUCGGUAUGAUUUUUCUAAAAUCGAGUGGCGGACGGGUGAGUAACACGUGGGUAACCUGCCCUUAAGUAGGGGAUAACAUUUGGAAACAGAUGCUAAUACCGUAUAAAUCUCAGAAACACAUGUUUCUGAGCUGAAAGGCGGCUUUCGAGCUGUCGCUUUUGGAUGGACCCGCGGCGUAUUAGCUAGUUGGUGAGGUAAAGGCUCACCAAGGCAGUGAUACGUAGCCGACCUGAGAGGGUGAUCGGCCACAUUGGGACUGAGACACGGCCCAAACUCCUACGGGAGGCAGCAGUAGGGAAUCUUCCACAAUGGACGAAAGUCUGAUGGAGCAACGCCGCGUGAGUGAAGAAGGUUCUCGGAUCGUAAAAAAAUGUUGUUGGAGAAGAACACGUUUGAGAGUAACUGUUCAGACGUGAC
Molecule: ribosomal RNA, 480 nt
Filed under: uncultured bacterium
Lineage: Bacteria
Description: bacterial SSU rRNA
Rfam family: Bacterial small subunit ribosomal RNA
Source: RNAcentral